RNAcentral lists this ribosomal RNA (818 nucleotides) under uncultured organism. RNAcentral describes it as "SSU rRNA". It matches the Rfam family "Bacterial small subunit ribosomal RNA", at positions 27 to 826 of the family's 1533-position model. The record is from RNAcentral.
GGACGAACGCUGGCGGCGUGCCUAAUACAUGCAAGUCGAGCGGACGAUUCAAAAGCUUGCUUUUGAAUCGUUAGCGGCGGACGGGUGAGUAACACGUGGGCAACCUGCCCUGUAGACGGGGAUAACACCGAGAAAUCGGUGCUAAUACCGGAUAACACGAAAGACCGCAUGGUUUUUCGUUGAAAGGCGGCGCAAGCUGUCGCUACAGGAUGGGCCCGCGGCGCAUUAGCUAGUUGGUGAGGUAACGGCUCACCAAGGCGACGAUGCGUAGCCGACCUGAGAGGGUGAUCGGCCACACUGGGACUGAGACACGGCCCAGACUCCUACGGGAGGCAGCAGUAGGGAAUCUUCCGCAAUGGACGAAAGUCUGACGGAGCAACGCCGCGUGAGCGAAGAAGGCCUUCGGGUCGUAAAGCUCUGUUGUUAGGGAAUAACAAGUACCGCAGUCACUGGUGGUACCUUGACGGUACCUAACGAGAAAGCCACGGCUAACUACGUGCCAGCAGCCGCGGUAAUACGUAGGUGGCAAGCGUUGUCCGGAAUUAUUGGGCGUAAAGCGCGCGCAGGCGGUUCCUUAAGUCUGAUGUGAAAGCCCACGGCUCAACCGUGGAGGGUCAUUGGAAACUGGGGGACUUGAGUGCAGAAGAGGAGAGCGGAAUUCCACGUGUAGCGGUGAAAUGCGUAGAGAUGUGGAGGAACACCAGUGGCGAAGGCGGCUCUCUGGUCUGUAACUGACGCUGAGGCGCGAAAGCGUGGGGAGCAAACAGGAUUAGAUACCCUGGUAGUCCACGCCGUAAACGAUGAGUGCUAAGUGUUAG